AACUUUCGACAAUGGAUCUCUUGGCUCUUGGAUCGAUGAAGAACGCAGUCAAGUGCGAUAAAUGGUGCGAUUUGCAUGAGCUGUGAGUCAUUGAAAGUUUGAACGCAACAUGCGCCAGGCGAGAGUCUGGCAUGGCUGUGUGAGGGAGGGAAGUGAUGAGAGGUGGUUCUUUGUCGAAAUGAACUGGAGAGCAGGGAGGGGGGUUGGAGGAGAGAGGCGAGGAGGGUGGAGCGAGGGGGUGAUCCCUGAUCUCUUGGCACUCUGCGUGUCCUCGGACCCCGCAGCACAACACUGGUAUCCUUGGGAUAUCGUACCACACACCCACCUCAGAUCAGGCAGGACAACCCGCUGAACUUAAGCAUAUCAAUAAGCGGAGGCU
This 379-nucleotide unclassified non-coding RNA is filed under the name uncultured Basidiomycota. RNAcentral's name for it is "sequence contains ITS2". The stretch from base 1 to 149 matches the Rfam family "5.8S ribosomal RNA". The record is from RNAcentral. Lineage: Eukaryota; Fungi; Basidiomycota.